RNAcentral lists this ribosomal RNA (375 nucleotides) under uncultured bacterium. Its description in RNAcentral is "bacterial SSU rRNA". It matches the Rfam family "Bacterial small subunit ribosomal RNA", at positions 524 to 898 of the family's 1533-position model. The record is from RNAcentral.
UACGAAGGGGGCUAGCGUUGCUCGGAAUUACUGGGCGUAAAGGGCGCGUAGGCGGCGUGAUCAGUCAGGCGUGAAAUUCCUGGGCUUAACCUGGGGGCUGCGCUUGAUACGGUCGUGCUAGAGGGCAGAAGAGGGUCGUGGAAUUCCCAGUGUAGAGGUGAAAUUCGUAGAUAUUGGGAAGAACACCGGUGGCGAAGGCGGCGACCUGGUCUGUUACUGACGCUGAGGCGCGAAAGCGUGGGGAGCAAACAGGAUUAGAUACCCUGGUAGUCCACGCUGUAAACGAUGUGCGCUGGAUGUUGGGUGACCUAGUCACUCAGUGUCGUAGCUAACGCGGUAAGCGCACCGCCUGGGGAGUACGGCCGCAAGGUUGAA